Molecule: ribosomal RNA, 292 nt
Filed under: uncultured bacterium
Lineage: Bacteria
Description: partial 16S ribosomal RNA
Rfam family: Bacterial small subunit ribosomal RNA
Source: RNAcentral
GUGUCAGCAGCCGCGGUAAAACGUAGGAGCCAAGCGUUAUCCGAAUUUACUGGGCGUAAAGCGCGUGCAGGCGGCUCGAUAAGUUGGCUGUGAAAUCUCCUGGCUCAACUGGGAGAGGCCGGUCAAGACUGUCGGGCUGGAGGGCAGUAGAGGGAGGUGGAAUUCCCGGUGUAGUGGUGAAAUGCGUAGAGAUCGGGAGGAACACCAGUGGCGAAAGCGGCCUCCUAGGCUGUACCUGACGCUCAGACGCGAAAGCUAGGGGAGCAAACGGGAUUAGAAACCCUCGUAGUCC